RNAcentral lists this ribosomal RNA (426 nucleotides) under uncultured bacterium. RNAcentral's name for it is "bacterial SSU rRNA". It matches the Rfam family "Bacterial small subunit ribosomal RNA", at positions 354 to 796 of the family's 1533-position model. The record is from RNAcentral.
GUAAGGGAUAUUGCUCAAUGGGCGAAAGCCUGAAGCAGCAACGCCGCGUGGAGGAUGACGGCUUUCGGGUUGUAAACUCCUUUUGUACCGGACGAGGAAGGACGGUACGGUACGAAUAAGUCACGGCUAACUACGUGCCAGCAGCCGCGGUAAAACGUAGGUGACGAGCGUUAUCCGGAUUUACUGGGCGUAAAGCGUGUGCAGGCGGGAUGGUAAGUGGUGUAUGAAAGCUCCGGGCUCAACUCGGAGAGGUUAUGCCAGACUGCCAACCUAGAGGUAGCAAGAGGGACAUGGAAUUCCGGGUGUAGUGGUGAAAUGCGUAGAGAUCCGGAGGAACUCCAGAGGCGAAGGCGGUGUCCUGGUGCUGACCUGACGCUCAGACACGAAAGCAUGGGGAGCGAACGGGAUUAGAUACCCCAGUAGUCC